CAGCAAAAUAGGAGCUGACCUUUACCAACCAUUUCCUAAGCAGCAGGCCAAGCGCCAUACAAACUGCCUUAUUGAAGACCCUGGCUCUACUGGAAAACGAAUUCUUUUAGUUGCAUUCACCUCUUGCAAAGUCCUUGGAGGAUGCAGGAAGCUGAACUUCAGGGGAGGCACCAAGAGCGACUACCUAGACCCUCUCUCUCAUAGUUCCAAGGCUGCCCUGCUGUCUCCAUGGUGGGAGUCACCAUCGCUAAGCCCCGUGCACACAGCCUGGAGAGAGAGGUCCGCAGACCCUGACCAAGGUUCUGGGUUGGGAGCCUGCCGACCUGGCGCCUUCUCGUCAUUCGACCCACAGCUCUCCCUCUGGACACUUUUCUAGCAGCCCGUGGGGCUCCGACAGGAACACAGUACCAGUCUUUCACCUGGAGGCCUGCUCUCCUCCACUUUCUUCGUGUGGUGGGGACUGCCUGGGCCCUGUUCCACUGCGGUUCCCGGGGAAAGGAGACUGAGCACCACCGCUCUGAAGAAGGAUACUGAGGGCUCUGCUGACAGCUCCUCUGCCCUCCCGAUCCGGCCACCUGCCUCCUCAGCAGUACCCCCGGUGGAAGAGAUAGGAAAGACAGAGAGAGCUCACUGCACACCCAGCUGCAGGCCUGAAGAAGCCCAGCGCUCCAGCAGCAGCCAACGCAAGAUCCUGGAAUACCAGGGUUAGGACCAGUGGUGUGUGGUAAGGACAAAACAAGAGGGAGCAGCAUAAGUUGGAAUGAUCUGAGGCCUCCCACUCGGGCUUCCAGUGGAAGUGAGAUCCCACAUGAUACCUUAAGCAGCGUUACCAGAGGCUGGAAGUUUCCAGUCCCUGCUUCUUGCAUCUGUCAGUGCCAGGAGACUGUCUGUAGAAGAGGCAGAACCAGGACAAGAUUCCCUGUCAUUAGAGUAAAACUAAGCUGUUAUCUGACAAUCCAAGAAACCAAAACUGACCACAUUAGCCAAAUUCCCAAACAGCCCUGUCUCAAUAGCCAUUAUGAUGCAGUUCCCUCUGCCUUAAUCUUCAUUCACAUAAGAAAGGUAACCUGAAGGAACUGAACGAAUCAGCUAUUUUCCCAUUAUUGCCUCUCUGUUCUCUGUAACUUUGAUAUGACUAGUGUAUUCUUUGCUUUGAUUCUGCUUCUUUCAGCCCUUCUCUUUCUAUAAAACCAACCUCUUGUGUUCAGCCCAUUGGAACACUUAUUCUGUCUUAUGAAAUGAAAUAUUGCCUGAUUUUAGAAUCAAAACUAAAAUCAAUUAAGAUCUUUAACCAAAUUUUUGUAAUUUUGCUCUUGGAUAGUGUCCAGUUGAAGACACUGAGCACCCAUGGUUUCUCCUGCCUAUGACAUCACAGACUUUCCUGUUCAGGGGAUGAUUUUCUCUGUGUCCAUGUACCAUCGGGUGCUCAGAGAGCUUGGCAAAUUCCAGUCCUUUAAAGCACUAUGUUUUUAUAAUGUGACACGAUGCCUCAAAAUUACAUUAAUAGCUCUGGUGCUGCAAUUAUAUUAGACUGAGAAUGACAGCCUGUCUCUCUGCCUAAUGAAAGCAAGUUGAUGAAGAAUUUCAUUCAUAAAACAUUGAAAUGGCUCCUCCAGUUUUCAUUGAACUAUCCAGAGAAACUUCCUCAAGACCAGAGUCAAGGCCCAAUCUGAGACCCUUCCUCCAUCUGCAUUUUCAGAAAUAUAUAUUCUUGCACAAGCAACAUACCACAUAAUCUCUCUGAUGCAGUAGCAUGUUUUCUGGAUGAAGAUCCAGGAACUUCAAUAAAGUGUCCAGUUGGAGUCAUGACCUUAGAAA
Heterocephalus glaber (naked mole-rat) is the source of this 1818-nucleotide long non-coding RNA. NCBI's taxonomy places the organism in Eukaryota, Metazoa, Chordata, Mammalia, Rodentia, Bathyergidae. The record is from Ensembl.